UUCGGAAGUUUACAGGACUGGCCUGUCAAAAGGCCUCCCUCGUGUUUACAUAUUUUGACAGGUUGAGUUGUUCGGGGACUAGGAACAAUGAUGAAGAUAUAAAUUUAUUCAAAGAAAUAAUAUGGGACAAUGAAUGCUAAAAUUGCCAAGAAGAAGACUCCAAUUUACACACCAUUUUAUACAGGUUACAGUAUGAUAUGGUGAACAAAAUGCCUCAAUGCAGCCAGUUCUAGAGCUUUGGCUAGACUAUGAACAGUA
Long non-coding RNA from Mercenaria mercenaria, 258 nucleotides. RefSeq lists it as uncharacterized. The transcript is spliced from 3 exons. Lineage: Eukaryota; Metazoa; Mollusca; Bivalvia; Venerida; Veneridae. The record is from RefSeq and is a predicted model, not a curated record.